UGAAGUCCUUGCUGUUGAUGCAUUUAAGUGUCCUCUUCCUCCUCAGGGCACAACACUAUAUAUAGCAGGUUGCACCAUUCUCCCCCAUCACAAACACACCCUGUGCCCACCCUCUCUCCCUGCACAGUGCCCUCUCCACAAGCAGCACAAUAGAAGCAGUAGUGCGGCACGAAGGUGUUGCAAUAGGAACCCCAUUGCGAGCAUGGCGGAGUCGCCGGCGAGCUCGUGCGUGUCAUCGGACGCGGAGGAGGAGACAGUGACGAAGGGGAUGGUGGUGGUGGGGUGCCCGCGGUGCCUCAUGUACGUGAUGCUGUCGGAGGCGGAGGAGCAGCCCAGGUGCCCCCGGUGCAAGAGCCCCGUCCUGCUGCACUUCCUCCACGGCACCGCUGAAGACGCCAACUCCAACAACACCAACAGGCAGGGCAGCAAGAGCUAGCCUGCAGUUCAGCUGCUUCUACUCCUCUCAUUUGCCAUGUUUUGACGCAUGUAUUCCGACUGCAGCGCCCUGUAGCUGUAGACCCUCUCUCCCUAUGAACUUGUAUUCGCACGCAGGACCGACGACAGGUCGAUCAGAACUCUUGUUUCUCUGUCUAUUCCAGAACCAUGUUCUGAAUUUAGGCUCAUAUACUUUGCUUUAAGAAGGCCGUUUACCUUUUUGCAA
This is a long non-coding RNA of Lolium rigidum, 661 nucleotides long. RefSeq lists it as uncharacterized. The record is from RefSeq and is a predicted model, not a curated record. The transcript has 2 exons. Lineage: Eukaryota; Viridiplantae; Streptophyta; Magnoliopsida; Poales; Poaceae.